AAUUUGAAAGAAAUUGUAUUGAGAAGUAAUCUCUAUGGAGUUAGAACCGCAUCAAUUUGCGUCAAAGGUCCUAGAUACAUAACUGCCCAAGAUAUUAUCUUACCGCCUUCCGUAGAAAUCGUUGAUACGGCACAACCUAUAGCUAACUUGACAGAACCCACGGAUUUCCGUAUUGAGUUACGGAUCAAGAGAGAUCGCGGAU
This 202-nucleotide unclassified non-coding RNA is filed under the name Hevea brasiliensis (rubber tree). Lineage: Eukaryota; Viridiplantae; Streptophyta; Magnoliopsida; Malpighiales; Euphorbiaceae. The record is from RNAcentral.